UACGGGGGGGGUAAGCGUUGUUCGGAAUUACUGGGCGUAAAGCGCGCGUGGGCGGCUUUGCAAGUCGGGUGUGAAAUCCCCAGGCUUAACCUGGGAACUGCAUUCGAGACUGCAUUGCUAGAGUAUGGGAGAGGGAAGUGGAAUUUCCGGUGUAGCGGUGAAAUGCGUAGAUAUCGGAAGGAACAUCAGUGGCGAAAGCGACUUCCUGGACCAAUACUGACGCUCAUGUGCGAAAGCGUGGGGAGCAAACAGG
Molecule: ribosomal RNA, 253 nt
Filed under: uncultured bacterium
Lineage: Bacteria
Description: partial 16S ribosomal RNA
Rfam family: Bacterial small subunit ribosomal RNA
Source: RNAcentral